This 435-nucleotide ribosomal RNA is filed under the name uncultured bacterium. RNAcentral describes it as "partial 16S ribosomal RNA". It matches the Rfam family "Bacterial small subunit ribosomal RNA", at positions 28 to 507 of the family's 1533-position model. The record is from RNAcentral.
GAUGAACGCUGGCGGUAUGCUUAACACAUGCAAGUCGAACGGACUCUUCGGAGUUAGUGGCGGACGGGUGAGUAACGCGUGAGAAUCUGGCUUUGGGUUCGGGACAACCACUGGAAACGGUGGCUAAUACCGGAUGUGCCGAGAGGUAAAAGAGAAAUUGCCUGAAGAUGAGCUCGCGUCUUAUUAGCUAGUUGGUGAGGUAAAGGCUCACCAAGGCAGCGAUCAGUAGCUGGUCUGAGAGGAUGACCAGCCACACUGGGAAUGAGACACGGCCCAGACUACUACGGGAGGCAGCAGUGGGGAAUUGUCCGCAAUGGGCGAAAGCCUGACGGAGCAAUACCGCGUGAGGGAAGAAGGCUCUUGGGUUGUAAACCUCUUUUCUUAGGGAAGAACAAAAUGACGGUACCUAAGGAAUCAGCAUCGGCUAACUCCGUG